RNAcentral lists this long non-coding RNA (419 nucleotides) under Olea europaea subsp. europaea. Lineage: Eukaryota; Viridiplantae; Streptophyta; Magnoliopsida; Lamiales; Oleaceae. The record is from RNAcentral.
ACAUGUAUAUCGGUACAGUUUCUAGUCAAAACUAUCCCUUAUCUCUCUCUCUCUCACACUCUUAUAAAGGGAACAAUAUUUCAGGAGAUUUUGUAGACAAAACCAUCUUCUUUCAUGGCUGCAGAAUCGAACUCAAAUUCUUCAACAAAUCUCAGAAUCAUAGUCCAAAACAACCCUUCACACUCACAACUCUCUGAAUUGGGUAUCAAAUCCUGGCCCAAGUAAGUCUCUCUCUCUCUCUCCCCCCACAUAUAUACACACACACACACACACACAUAUACAUAUAUAUGUAUGUAUGUAUGUUUUGUAUGUGUAUAUGUUCUCUUAUAUAUAAAUUAGCUUUGUGUUUUUGGUGAAUAUUGAGAAGAUGGGGUUGCUCGCCGGGGAAGUACCAGCUAAAAUUUGAUGCUGAAGAAACU